GGCGGAUGUAGACUCAAAUGAUAAGGCAGUGGAUUGUGAAUCCACCACGUGCGGGUUAAAUUCCCGUC
Molecule: transfer RNA, 68 nt
Filed under: Epipremnum aureum
Lineage: Eukaryota; Viridiplantae; Streptophyta; Magnoliopsida; Alismatales; Araceae
Description: tRNA-His
Rfam family: tRNA
About the family: Transfer RNA (tRNA) molecules are approximately 80 nucleotides in length. Their secondary structure includes four short double-helical elements and three loops (D, anti-codon, and T loops).
Source: RNAcentral